This 301-nucleotide ribosomal RNA is filed under the name uncultured bacterium. RNAcentral's name for it is "partial 16S ribosomal RNA". It matches the Rfam family "Bacterial small subunit ribosomal RNA", at positions 509 to 808 of the family's 1533-position model. The record is from RNAcentral.
CAGCAGCCGCGGUAAUACGGAGGGUGCAAGCGUUAAUCGGAAUUACUGGGCGUAAAGCGCACGCAGGCGGUCUGACAAGUCAGAUGUGAAAUCCCCGGGCUUAACCUGGGAACUGCAUUUGAAACUGUCAGGCUGGAGUCUUGUAGAGGGGGGUGGAAUUCCAGGUGUAGCGGUGAAAUGCGUAGAGAUCUGGAGGAAUACCGGUGGCGAAGGCGGCCCCCUGGACAAAGACUGACGCUCAGGUGCGAAAGCGUGGGGGCAAACAGGAUUAGAUACCCGAGUAGUCCCUGUCUCUUAUACA